Molecule: long non-coding RNA, 1091 nt
Organism: Monodelphis domestica (gray short-tailed opossum)
Lineage: Eukaryota; Metazoa; Chordata; Mammalia; Didelphimorphia; Didelphidae
Source: RefSeq, a predicted model, not a curated record
AUUCCGGCCACCCGGAAGUCCCGCUGGCCACCCAGCCGGACCUCUCCGGGCUCAGAGAGCGCUCUCCUUUGUGGGGCUGUCUCACCUUGGCGAGGGCCUUAGUUUCAGAGUCUCCCCUUUCACCCUUUCCACUCGAAGUCCAUAAAACCCAAUUGAUUUAUUUAGUAGAGAGCGGCCAAGAAAAAGGCCCAGGAAAAAUGUCGCACCCAGAUGCAAGCACCAUUACCAUUUUAUGGGUACCUUUUAUCUCACAAUCUCCACCUCCCCCCAUUUCCCCGGAUAUCACCGGAAGGAGGAAGACCCACCGGCCCACAGCCCCCAAGGGUCCCGGGGUCCAAGGCAGGACCCUAAGUGACCAGCGCCCAGAUACAGCCCUGCAGAACCCGGCCUUUAGGGAAACUGUCAUCCUCUGGCAGGAAAUCUCAACUACCACAAGCCCCACUGAUUCCUCGAGGUUUCCUGGCUCAGACCGUGGUGGGUUCCCAUGGAAACGUCAGUAACCAAGCAGAAUCAGAACCUAAAUCUACUAACCAGGCCCUUGUAGCUCCUUCAGGGUGACUUGUGGUUUAAAAAAAAAAAGCAAUCACAAUAAAGUCAAGGAAAGGGGGCUAGAGGAUGGGGUGGGAGGAGGGCAGUCCACCUGUAGCUCCCUGAACAGAAACCUCUUCUCCUGUACCAUGUCCCCCAACUCACAGAUGGGCCAUUCCCACCAGGGCAGCUCUUCUAUCAACCACCUCUUUCCUGAUGAACCCACCCUGCCCCAGACAGGCCCAGCCAGAAUGCCCCUUCCUCUAGGCUUGGGCUCCACCAAUCUCCUAAAGCCUCUCUUCCUUCUGGUCCUGGCCCAGAGGCUGCCCGUUCCAGGAAACCUUCCCUGAUCCUCACAGACCCUUCACAGAUCGUUCUGGAAGAGCAUCCUAGAUGCAUCCUGUUCGGAAAAGACUUUCAGCCUGGGAGAAAGUGAAGGGCCUCCUGCUGAGAAGGAACUGGAGAGAAGGAUGCUGAGGGAAGAUCUUUCAGGGAGAGGAAAGCACCAACCAAGAAUUCUUUUGAGCUACAAUUAAGAUAAAUAAAGCUUCCUCACCACUUAA